AGAGCCAGUCUAAGUGGUAGAGCACAUGCUUAGCAUACAUGAGGUCCUGGGUUCAAUCCCCAGUAGCUCCA
Molecule: transfer RNA, 71 nt
Filed under: Camelus bactrianus (Bactrian camel)
Lineage: Eukaryota; Metazoa; Chordata; Mammalia; Artiodactyla; Camelidae
Also listed under: 2 other names
Rfam family: tRNA
About the family: Transfer RNA (tRNA) molecules are approximately 80 nucleotides in length.
Source: Rfam by way of RNAcentral